GAGUUUGAUCCUGGCUCAGAACGAACGUUGGCGGCGCGCCUAACACAUGCAAGUCGAACGCGAAAAGUCUUCGGACUGAGUAGAGUGGCGCACGGGUGCGUAACACGUGAGUAACCUACCCUUCAGCUUGGGAUAACAGCUCGAAAGAGCUGCGGGAUACCGAAUAAGACCACGCCCUUUUCGAAGGAAGUGAGAAAAGAUGGCGCUCGAAAGAAGCUGUCACUGAAGGACGGGCUCGCGGUCUAUCAGCUUGUUGGUGAGGUAAUGGCUCACCAAGGCGAAGACGGAUAGCUGGUCUGAGAGGAUGGCCAGCCACACUGGAACUGAGACACGGUCCAGACUCCUACGGGAGGCAGCAGUGGGGAAUCUUGCGCAAUGGGCGAAAGCCUGACGCAGCGACGCCGCGUGUACGAUGAAGGCCUUUGGGUCGUAAAGUACUGUCAACAGGGACGAAAGCCUGCCGGUUAAUAGCCGGAAGGGAUGACGGUACCUGUGGAGGAAGCACCGGCUAACUCUGUGCCAGCAGCCGCGGUAAUACAGAGGGUGCAAACGUUGUUCGGAAUUACUGGGCGUAAAGCGCGUGUACGCGGUCUCGUAAGUCGACUGUGAAAGCCCAGGCUCAACCCUGGAAGUGCAGCCGAUA
RNAcentral lists this ribosomal RNA (643 nucleotides) under uncultured Myxococcaceae bacterium. RNAcentral describes it as "bacterial SSU rRNA". It matches the Rfam family "Bacterial small subunit ribosomal RNA", at positions 9 to 632 of the family's 1533-position model. The record is from RNAcentral. Lineage: Bacteria; Pseudomonadati; Myxococcota; Myxococcia; Myxococcales; Myxococcaceae.